GACGAACGCUGGCGGCGUGCUUAACACAUGCAAGUCGAACGGAAAGGCCCUGCUUUUGUGGGGUGCUCGAGUGGCGAACGGGUGAGUAACACGUGAGUAACCUGCCCUUGACUUUGGGAUAACUUCAGGAAACUGGGGCUAAUACCGGAUAGGAGCUCCUGCUGCAUGGUGGGGGUUGGAAAGUUUCGGCGGUUGUGGAUGGACUCGCGGCUUAUCAGCUUGUUGGUGGGGUAGUGGCUUACCAAGGCUUUGACGGGUAGCCGGCCUGAGAGGGUGACCGGCCACAUUGGGACUGAGAUACGGCCCAGACUCCUACGGGAGGCAGCAGUGGGGAAUAUUACACAAUGGGCGGAAGCCUGAUGCAGCAACGCCGCGUGCGGGAUGACGGCCUUCGGGUUGUAAACCGCUUUCGCCUGUGACGAAGCGUGAGUGACGGUAAUGGGUAAAGAAGCACCGGCUAACUACGUG
Molecule: ribosomal RNA, 468 nt
Filed under: uncultured bacterium
Lineage: Bacteria
Description: partial 16S ribosomal RNA
Rfam family: Bacterial small subunit ribosomal RNA
Source: RNAcentral